Small nuclear RNA from Nycticebus coucang (slow loris), 107 nucleotides. NCBI's taxonomy places the organism in Eukaryota, Metazoa, Chordata, Mammalia, Primates, Lorisidae. The record is from RefSeq and is a predicted model, not a curated record.
GUGGUUACUUCGGUAGCACAUAUACUAAAAUUGGAAUAAUAUAGAGAAGAUUCGCAUGGCCUCUGUGCAAAGAUGACACACAAACUCCUGAAGCAUCCCAUAAUUCU